Molecule: ribosomal RNA, 400 nt
Filed under: uncultured bacterium
Lineage: Bacteria
Description: bacterial SSU rRNA
Rfam family: Bacterial small subunit ribosomal RNA
Source: RNAcentral
AGCGAACGUUAGCGGCGCGCCUAACACAUGCAAGUCGCACGAGAAACGGAGCAAUCCGCGGUACAGUGGCGCACGGGUGAGUAACACGUGGAUGACCUUCCCUGGAGUGGUGGAUAACCUGCCGAAAGGCGGGCUAAUACAGCAUAGGAUCACGACGCUUUGGCGAUGUGGUGAAAGCGGGCCUCUAUAUAUAAGCUCGCGCUCCGGGACGGGUCCGCGUCCCAUCAGCUAGUUGGUGAGGUAACGGCUCACCAAGGCAACGACGGGUAGCUGGUCUGAGAGGAUGGCCAGCCACACUGGAACUGAGACACGGUCCAGACUCCUACGGGAGGCAGCAGUGGGGAAUCUUGCGCAAUGGGCGAAAGCCUGACGCAGCGACGCCGCGUGGGCGAAGAAGGCC